UACGUAGGGGGCGAGCGUUGUCCGGAUUUAUUGGGCGUAAAGAGCGUGUCGGCGGUUCGGUAAGUCUGUCGUGAAAUCCUGAGGCUCAACCUCGGGCGUGCGAUGGAUACUGCCGGGCUAGAGGGUGGUAGAGGCGAGUGGAAUUCCCGGUGUAGCGGUGAAAUGCGCAGAUAUCGGGAGGAACACCAGUAGCGAAGGCGGCUCGCUGGGCCACACCUGACGCUGAGACGCGAAAGCUAGGGGAGCGAACAGG
This 253-nucleotide ribosomal RNA is filed under the name uncultured bacterium. RNAcentral describes it as "partial 16S ribosomal RNA". It matches the Rfam family "Bacterial small subunit ribosomal RNA", at positions 524 to 776 of the family's 1533-position model. The record is from RNAcentral.